Molecule: long non-coding RNA, 395 nt
Filed under: Brassica rapa (field mustard)
Lineage: Eukaryota; Viridiplantae; Streptophyta; Magnoliopsida; Brassicales; Brassicaceae
Description: long non-coding RNA (BRAP_LNC001739)
Source: RNAcentral
GAGCAGUAGCAUCGUGGCUAGAGCAAUGUUUCUUAACAUAGUUGUUAACGAAAGGGUUACGGAACGAUCUGUUAACCGUAUGUUUACAAUUUUCAUUUAAUGUUUUGAUCAUGGCGCAACAUUCAGAAUCAACGGUUGGUUUUUCGGUUAACGACUUCAUCAAACAUUUUGUUACCAUUUUGUAACUGGAAAAACACUCCUUUAAUUCCUGAUUUAGGCUGUGUUUGUGGAUAGCCGAGGGCGCGUGAGCGUAACCCGACCAUUGGAGCUCUUCGUCAUCUGUUUAGGUCAAGAAAUUGAGAUGUGACACAGCUUGAAAAGAGAACCAUAGCAACAAAAAUUGUGAGACUCUUCAUUUUCUUUUGAUUCCUUGUCGGUGUUAAAUUGAGAAAAAG